Molecule: ribosomal RNA, 512 nt
Filed under: uncultured bacterium
Lineage: Bacteria
Description: partial 16S ribosomal RNA
Rfam family: Bacterial small subunit ribosomal RNA
Source: RNAcentral
GACGAACGCUGGCGGCGUGCCUAAUACAUGCAAGUCGAGCGAGCGGAACUAACAGAUUUACUUCGGUAAUGACGUUAGGAAAGCGAGCGGCGGAUGGGUGAGUAACACGUGGGGAACCUGCCCCAUAGUCUGGGAUACCACUUGGAAACAGGUGCUAAUACCGGAUAAGAAAGCAGAUCGCAUGAUCAGCUUUUAAAAGGCGGCGUAAGCUGUCGCUAUGGGAUGGCCCCGCGGUGCAUUAGCUAGUUGGUAAGGUAAAGGCUUACCAAGGCGAUGAUGCAUAGCCGAGUUGAGAGACUGAUCGGCCACAUUGGGACUGAGACACGGCCCAAACUCCUACGGGAGGCAGCAGUAGGGAAUCUUCCACAAUGGACGCAAGUCUGUUGGAGCAACGCCGCGUGAGUGAAGAAGGUGUUCGGAUCGUAAAGCUCUGUUGUUGGUGAAGAAGGAUAGAGGUAGUAACUGGCCUUUAUUUGACGGUAAUCAACCAGAAAGUCACGGCUAACUACGUG